Regulatory RNA element from Erwinia mallotivora, 37 nucleotides. It matches the Rfam family "JUMPstart RNA". The record is from Rfam. NCBI's taxonomy places the organism in Bacteria, Pseudomonadati, Pseudomonadota, Gammaproteobacteria, Enterobacterales, Erwiniaceae.
GAGCAAACUGGUAGCUGCAAGCCAGGGCGGUAGCCUU